Long non-coding RNA from Callithrix jacchus (white-tufted-ear marmoset), 7183 nucleotides. RefSeq lists it as uncharacterized. The record is from RefSeq and is a predicted model, not a curated record. Lineage: Eukaryota; Metazoa; Chordata; Mammalia; Primates; Cebidae.
CAUAGAACCAUAAAAGACUACAUUUGUGUUUUACGAUUUCAUGAUGUGAUAUUUCAGUGGUAACAGUAAGAUGUAGUUUAUAGACAAAGUAUUUUAUAUAUAAGAUUAUUUGAAUUGUGAAGAAAUAAUCCCUUUGUUGAAAAAAGUUGAGGUCUCACGCCUGUGAAUACUUUGUAAACCAUAAAAAAACAUAACAUCCAAAGUUGAUCUGACAGUUGAAGAUCAAGUGUACAUAUCAAACUGAAAAACAGACACAGCAUCUGAUUUUUCAUUCUGGCAAGACAUCGCUCAUAUUUCAGUUUAUGUCUCUUCUAAUUGAUUCAGCAGGCCUGACAUUGAACUGCACAUAAUAGAACCAGUUUGAUGAGGUGCAACCUAUCCUAAGGUUACCAGGUAACUUAAAAAAAAUUAAACAUAUGUUUCUAAGUCUAGGGCUUCAAAAUUGGACACAGUUAUUUGCAAAUAAAAUUUUUAAUUAAAUAAGUUUAAUUGCUGUGCUAUUUUAAGAGUUAUUCUGCUGAAAAGGGUGUUCUUAGAAUAAAUAGCAUACUAGAGACAGAAUCAAAGUACUUUCAUAUUAGGAAAUAUUGUGUUAUCAUAGUGCAGCAGAUUUUUGCAUUUCAUUAAUGAAACAAAAAUUUGUUUGCUUUAAAAUAGGGAGAUACACUAGAUAAUUGUGUAAUUUCCUUACUAGCUUUAAAAGUCUGUAAAUAAAUAAUAAAGGUCUCUAUCACUAAAAAAUAAAACAGUAAAGCCAAAUGGAGAUUUUCUUCUUAUACUCUACUACUUGGAUCUUUGCACUGCCUUUUCCUUUCAGAUGAUGUUUUCCUUAAUAUAUUCUAACAGGAAUAAUCAAGCUUUUGUGAAGCAAGGAACUGAGUGAUGAGAUAAAUAAGGACAAAUCCAGAAAGUGACUAUACCCAGAUUAACCCCAGAUGAACCCAACUGAUUAGCCAAAUGGUAACUGAAAUUAGUUGAGGUGAUAAAGAUGGUCCUACUCUACAUAAACCUGUAAGUUUGGUUUGCUUGUUUACUUUGUUUUUGUGUUUGGUGGAUAAAUGGGCCUACUUGUUAUUUCUUGAAUUCUUCUUCUUUUUUUUUUUUAAUUUGUAGGUGGCAGAACAAAAAUGAAGGAAUUAACCAAUAUUUUUCUCCUAAUGAUUCCAGUGCAUAGUAUCACUGAAAGGUGGGUGUACUGUGGCUCACUUAGAGGGAAGAACCAUAUAGUUACUGUGUAGGGGUAAUUUUGCCAUGGAAAUAUAACAAUAGCAAACAGUUACUGGAUAUUUAUAUGUCAAGGGCUGGGUUAAAAGCUUCAUAUGAAGUAUCUUCUUUUAAUCUUCAUAAUCACACUAUAUGUUAGAUUCUAUUUUUUUUACAGACCUUUGUUUUUUUCUAUUUGAAUGCACCUCCAAGAAAUACCAAAGUCAGGAUAUUUUUGGAAACACAGAAAACAGCAACAUUUUCCUAAAAAUAGCUUACAUAGUCAUGUGACUACUCAACAUAGAGUAAUAGGCAUGGAUAGAGCCAGGUUUUGUGGAGCCUGAAGCUCAUGUAAUUUCAGGAGAUGCCUUUUUUUUUAGAAAGAAAAAAAAGAAAGAAAGAGAGAAAAAAUGAAAAAAAAAAAAGAAUGAAGGAGAGGAAGAGGAAGACGGAGAGAAAACGGGAGUGUUGCUUUAUUGCCCAGGCUAGAAUGCAGUCUAAAAAUGGGUAUUGAAAACCUCUUUUAUGCCAAUAAUUGUGCUUAGUAAUGCAGAGAGAAAAAAUAAGGGAAGAAAAUAACAAACAAGUAGCCAACCAAUAUUUUAUUUAAACCUGUGAGUAGGUGUGAUGUGGUACUGAUAAGAGUGUACAUUUUGUGUAUUUAAAGUGGAGAGUUCUAUAAAUGUUUAUUAAGUUUACUUGUUCCGGAUCUGAGUUCAAGUCCUGGAUAUUCUUGUUAAUUUUCUGUCUCGUUGAUCUAUCUAAUAUUGAUGUUGAAGUCUCCCACUAUUAUUGUGUGGGAGUCUAAGUCUCUUUAUAAGUCUUAUGUAUCUGGGUGUUCCUGUAUUGGGUGCGUAUGUAUUUAGGAUCGUUAGCUCUUCUAGUUGCAUUGAUCCUUUUAUCGUUAUGUAAUGACCUUCUUUGCCUCUUUUGAUCUUUGUUGCUUUAAAAUCUAUUUUAUCAGAGGUGAGAAUUGCAACUUCUGCUAUUUAUUUAUUUAUUUAUUUAUUUAUUUAUUUAUUUAUUUAUUUAUUUUUGCUUUCCAUUUGGUUGGUAAAUCUUCCUCCAUCCCUUUGUUUUGAGUCUUUGUGUAUCCUUGUAUGUGAGAUGGGUCUGGAUGCAACAUACUGAUGGGUUUUGGCUCUGUCUUUUGAUUGGGGAAUUUAGUCGAUUUAAAUUUUGGAUUAAUAAUAAUACAUGUGAAUUUAUUACUGCUAUUUGAUGUACCAGGUAUUAUUGUAUCAGGUUUUAUUGUCCCAUUAAUACCUGGUACAGAAUAAACAUGGAGGAUUAUUCUUAAUUUAUCAGACUCACUCCCAAGUGUAAGAAUGCUUUUAGAAUGCAGGACUGUCAUAUUAAUAGGUACACGUGUAAAUCUCAUAUGAGAAAAAUUUUACCUAACUUCAUACUGAAAAAACUGUGUAAUAUUUCAUAGUGACUGUGAUGUAACAUAAAUAAAAUACGUUAUGAUUCUAAUAAAGGUUUUGAUUCAUGGCACAAUAUUUUCUAAAUACCAAGGCGAUUUAUUAUUUGAACACUGUGGGUUCUUCGUGUAAUUGUAUACUCUACUUCAGUUCUUAGACAUACAGCAUAUGCUUUAGCAACGGAAAGAAGCUAUGUUUUGCCUUUGAACUUCAGACCUGUUAAAUGCGGGAAAAGAAGUAGUUUGAAUAUUUGGAAUAUACAUCACAAUACUGCAAUAUUUUGAAAUCUGAAUUUCAUAAUCAAGUUUUUCUUAUAGUUUUGUUUGAUCAUUGAUGAUGUAUUGUCAUUCUUUGGGACAUGUUGGCAAAGGUGCAGUCUUCUUGAUGUAGAUGUCCUUAGAAGUUUACAAUUUAUAAUACAUUGGGACUUUGUAUGGAACAACAACAGAGACUUCAGAUAAAGUUGCUACUUCCUAAGAAUCCAAAAGAGAGAAUAACAGAUGCAUUCCUAAGUAUACUUCUCUAUACAAAGAAAAGAAAUGAAAAAUAUUAAGAGGUCAGGUUGUAUAAAGAUAAGUUAGAAGUUGAAAAGAGAUGGAGUCAAUCUGAAAAAGCUUCAGAAAAUAGGUAGACCUGAAACAAACAUUUAGACAUAAGGUAUAAUAUGCUUUCCUGGAAAUUGUUCCAGAAGUAGCACUGGGAUUUAAAGGUCACUUUGAAGCAAGGAAAGCAUAUUGCUAGAGAGGGUAUAAAGCAGAGGUCAGUGAGAAAUCAGAUUGAGGGAGCAGAACUGUAUAGGAAGAGAAUUAGACAUUAAAGAGAUAUGUGUGUACAUGACUUCUAAUUGCAUACUAUUUAUACUAUAUGAAACACAGAAUUGUAGAAAAGAGCAUGACCCUCGAAGCUCAGCUUUAUGAUUUUAAAGUUCUCUCUAACUUUAAAACGUGGAAAAUAAUUCUACUUGCCCAAUGUUUAGCACUUAUUAAAUCCAUAUUUUGUGUCAGGAACCAAGCACUUUACGUAUAUAAAUUCAUUAGCCCUCAGGAUAACCCAUUGGAGUAAGUUUUAACGCUUUUGUUAUGAGGAUUAAAUGGGCAAAUAAAUGCCAAGAGUUUAAGUGAACUCCACAAGUUAGUAAUUAGGAAGAUCGUGAUGAAAUGCUCUUCAAAUGAAAAUAAACUAAGUUUAAUCAAGAUGUAGGUAUACCAUUGUUGGUAGUGGUAUCACCAAUGUCAAGAGAGUAAACGAACCGCUACAGCUAAAGUUGUUUGUUAAUUCAAGCUUUAUUUUAGUGUCUGGAGAUCAGAAUAAAUCAUUUUGUAAAUGUUCUGAUGCUUCACAUUUGUAGGUCAACUAUGUUUGUUUGUUCAUUGUCUUUCAGGAGGUGCCUGUUUUCACUGCACAUAGAUAUGCCUUGAGAAUGAGUUUUUAAUGAACACAUUUUUUAUUUUGGCCACCUGUUUCUGUUUAAAAUAAAUGCAGUAUAACAAAAUCCACUGAGUGUAGCAAAAUUUCAGAUUCCAGUUGAACUUAGUUAAAUUUCUACCCCUUGUCUACAGAAGUUUUGAAUGUCUUUCUCACAUGCCAAGGGUUACCAAAAAUUUCAGCCUUCUUAACAGAGCUUUGUAGAAAUAGUUGGGCCCCAAGUUUCUUUAACAUGUUGGAGCAGGCACUCUUCCAAGGGACUAGAAGUUAAUGACUUUAGCUGAAGCUGAAACUUGCCUUCAGGUCUCCCUCCCUGAUCUGUGACUAGAGCAAUUAGAGUUAAAUAAGAUUGGUAUAUUGAUGGCUAUAACAUGAAAAACUGGUACUUGUAUCAAUUGCAACUAAAGAAAAGAGCAGAAGGCGCCUCCUGAUUAUUCACCCUAGGUAAUGAUGAAACAGAACUGUAUUUUUUAUUAGAUUUUGUGAGUUUUGAUUUAAACAUAAUGUAACCUUAAAAGUUUUAGCUUUUCCUAGUUUUCAGGUAUUUUAUUUGUAUAUUUGAAUUGUCAUUAAAAAUAAUUUUUAGUCCCCAAAGCAAUAUGAAGUAUAUGAUGAAGUCAUAUGUCAGGCAGGCAUAUGAUCACUAUUCUCAAGAACCUAUGAUUGGGUAAACAUUAAAGAUAUAUUUUCAAUACAUAUAUUUUUUAGAAAUAAUAAAAUAGCACAAGUCCUCAACUACAAAACACUCUUGAAUAUCACUGGGAAUUAUUUAGGCAAUACAUUCACCUCAACCUGGUGGUAUUUUGUCUGUUAUGAUUAGGUUGCAAUUUUUAGACCUAAUCGUUAAAGAUAAGAUGGUAGAAGAGCACAUUGUAAAAGUGGGGAGCUGAGCUCUGAUGCUUUUCAGAUAGCAUCAGAAAAAUAAAAAGUAAAAAGAUGAGAAUAAAAUUUGAAAAAUAUUUGUGAGACUAAAAUAAUGAUUGCAAUAAAAAUGCAGGAAUAAAAUAUAGACUGUGUUCCUGUAAACUGGCAAACCUCCUUGGCUGAGCUCCAGGUAAUGUCCUUUCUGUGUGAGCAUUUGUUGUUUAGGAAGAUGCAAUAUGCACAUUGAGAUGUCAGCAAAACGAGACCCUCUGGAAUCUGUUGACAGCAAUUCAACUCUAACUCUGAGAGCACGUAUGCGAUCUCAUAUUACUCAUCUGGAAGGCUUCUUUUUUUCAUACUCAGGAUGUUUUCUCCAUUUUUAUUUUUAAUUUAUUUCUUACUACAGAGAAUUUGUAUUGACUAGUUCUUUUCCUCCCUUCUCCUUUUGUUUUUAAUGUUUAUUUCUUUUGAGCAUGGCUCUCUGCUCUAUUACUUACUCAACUUUAUAAAUCAGAUUCUUCUCUGAUCUGACUUAAAUCUCAUAUGAAUAUCCUGAUUAUUCUUAUACCAUCCUUUAUCAGCAGAAGUGAUGACUGCCUUCUACAACAACACAGAGGAUGUUUUGUUGCAAAGUUACACUUAGAAUUCACACAUAUUAUAAGAAACAUAAAAAGAAAGCAUUGAUCUUUAUUGGAAUUUGUACAGAGUAGAAAUACAUUUAUAUAUAUUUCAACUACUAAUUUUUCUCUGGGAUCCCAGAAAAUAAUGCAGUUUUAGGUUUCAAGACUUGAAAAAUGGUGUGAGAUUUUCCACAGUUGAAGAAGUAAUAUAACAAAAUGCUGAGAACAUAGACUUUGGAGAGAGACAUCUUUAAGUUCAAGUCACUUCUCAUGGUACUUAUUAGCCAUCUUCAGAUUUCCUUAAACUCCUUGAGACUCUGUUCCCUCAUCUGUAAAAUAGGGAUUGUAGUGUAUACAUCACAGGAUUACCAUGAACAUUAAGUGGAAUCAUGUGUGAUUAGCAGAGGAAAACAUCAACAGUGGAAGAUGACUAUUAUAGAGUGGAGGGAAAUUUUAUCAAAUGACAAUAAGAGCUCUUCCCAUUAUAUCAUACAUUCCAGUCAUACAUUUAGGUAAAGUAAGUGAGCCAGAGAUGUGGAAAAAUUAUUAGAAAGGAAGCCCCAUCAACGACCUGGUCCUGACAAUGGAGAACAGUAGAGGGGAGCAUGCCGUUCAAAGGACAGGAGAAGAGGUUUACAGUGAAUGAGGGGCCCCGGUCUGGCUCUCCCUCAUUUGAAAGAAAACGAAAGCAUCAGUUUAAACAAAGGCACCAGAAUGUCUUAUACCUGCGUGGCAGCAUUCUAGGCAAAGGUGAUGCAGUAUGUACAAAAGAGACAAAAUUUCCUUAUUUCUUAGAGUUUAUAAAUGGGUGGGAAAGACAGGCAAUAGAAUAAAAAAAAUCCCAGGUAAUAGAUUUUUAAAUGCAGGUAAUUUAUAACAUAUAAUAGAAAGGGAAUAAGUGUUCUAGAGAAAAAUCAACCAGAAAGUAAUUGAGAAUGUCGUGAGGAGCAAAGGGCUAUUUUAACCCGGAUGAGCAGGCUUCAUUGUUCAUGAUUUCAAAGAGGUAGGGAGCCAGCAGAUAUCUGGGACUGGAAUGUUCCAAACAGAGGGAAGAGCAAGGGUAAAUGCAUUUAGGCAGGAAGAAAGAUGAUAUUCCCCCAAGAACAGCACAAAAGGUACUAUGGGGAGUGGACUGAGGAGUGGGGAAGAACAGCGCUCUCGAAGAACUGGGGGACGUUGCAGGCCAUUGUAAGGACUUCUGCUUUCACUUAGCUUGAGUUGGUAAGCCAGAGGAGAGGCCUAGGAAGAUUUACUUGAGAGCAACAUUCACUCUGGCUUCUAUGUCGCAAGUUCUCAGUGAUGGGUAAAGGAGAUUAGGAAGAUAGUUUGUUUUACAGCUUAACAUGUGAAAUGGUAGAAUAAAUGGUAAGAAGAAUAACAUUUGAGAGGCCGAGGCGGGUGGAUCACGAGGUCGAGAGAUCGAGACCAUCCUGGUCAACAUGGUGAAACCCCGUCUCUACUAAAAAUACAAAAAAUUAGCUGGGCAUGGUGGCACGUGCCUGUUAUCCCAGCUCCUCAGGAGGCUGAGGCGGGAGAAUUGCCUGAACCCAGGAGGCGGAGGUUGCGGUGAGCCGAGAUCGCGCCAUUGCACUCCAGCCUGGGUAACAAGAGGGAAACUCUGUCUCAAAAAAAAAAAAAAAAAAAUAA